UGGUUCUGGCAUNGAUGAAGAACGCAGCGAAAUGCGAUAAGUAGUGUGAAUUGCAGAAUUCAGUGAAUCAUCGAAUCUUUGAACGCACAUUGCGCCCCUUGGUAUUCCAUGGGGCAUGCCUGUUCGAGCGUCAUUUGAACCCUCAAGCUCUGCUUGGUGUUGGGUGUUUGUCCUGCUCUACGCGUGGACUCGCCUCAAAUCAAUUGGCAGCCGGCAAUCUGGUCUUCGAGCGCAGCACAUUUUGCGCUUCUAGCCCUGUAUUCUGGCAUCCAUCAAGCCUACAAUUCUUACGCUUGACCUCGGAUCAGGUAGGGAUACCCGCUGA
RNAcentral lists this unclassified non-coding RNA (325 nucleotides) under uncultured fungus. RNAcentral describes it as "partial contains 5.8S ribosomal RNA and internal transcribed spacer 2". The stretch from base 1 to 133 matches the Rfam family "5.8S ribosomal RNA", at positions 22 to 154 of the family's 154-position model. Lineage: Eukaryota; Fungi. The record is from RNAcentral.